GACGAACGCUGGCGGCGUGCUUAACACAUGCAAGUCGAACGGACAGGCCCUGCUUUUGUGGCGUGCUCGAGUGGCGAAGGGGUGAGUAACACGUGAGUAACCUGCACUUGACUUUGGGAUAACUUCAGGAAACUGCGGCUAAUACCGGAUAGGAGCUCCUGAUGCAUGUUGGGGGAUGGAAAGAUUCGGCGGUUGGGGAUGGUCUCGCGGCUUAUCAGCUUGUUGGUGGGGUAGUGGCUUACCAAGGCUUUGAAGGGUAGCCGGCCUGAGAGGUUGACCGGGCACAUUGGUACUGCGAUACGGCCCAGAAUCCUACGGGAGGCAGCGGGGGGGAAUAUUGCAGAGUGGGCGGAAGCCUGAUGCAGCAACGCCGCGUGCGGGAUGACGGGCUUCGGGUUGUAAACCGCUGUCGCCGGUGACGAAGCGUGAGUGACGGUAAUGGGUAAAGAAGCACCGGCUAACUACGUG
RNAcentral lists this ribosomal RNA (468 nucleotides) under uncultured bacterium. Its description in RNAcentral is "partial 16S ribosomal RNA". It matches the Rfam family "Bacterial small subunit ribosomal RNA", at positions 28 to 507 of the family's 1533-position model. The record is from RNAcentral.